Non-coding RNA from Phascolarctos cinereus (koala), 445 nucleotides. The record is from RefSeq and is a predicted model, not a curated record. NCBI's taxonomy places the organism in Eukaryota, Metazoa, Chordata, Mammalia, Diprotodontia, Phascolarctidae.
AGGGAAGAAUGGAUAAAACAAGGUACCACUGGGAAACCUUUGUCUAAAGGAAUCCUUCUAGGAAGGGCUGCCCUGUAGUUGGCAAUUGAGGCUAAGUGACUUGCCCAGGAUCACACAGCUAGUAGAGGAGUAGAAUAUUCAGUCUGAGAUGAGAACAUAAGCCACCUAGAUCUGGACUUGGCAAUCCAGGAAUCCAGGCAAGGUAUUACAUCAAGCCCAAUAAAAGGCAGCAACAAUGCCAACUUUGACCAUGAACUUGGUCAGCUCAGUGCUAUGUAGGAAAGGAGCAAAAUUGUGUUCCUAAUUUAUAUUCAAAAGAGACUGAAGUGAGGGUGUUGUACCCCCAAAAAUGUUUGGGAUAAUGUUUAAUGUUUGUUCUUUACAUAAGUUUGAAGGAAAUAUAAUUUUGUAAAAGCUAAUCUGAUAAUAAAUGGUUAAAUGGAAA